Molecule: unclassified non-coding RNA, 1205 nt
Filed under: Hevea brasiliensis (rubber tree)
Lineage: Eukaryota; Viridiplantae; Streptophyta; Magnoliopsida; Malpighiales; Euphorbiaceae
Source: RNAcentral
GUUGAAGAAGAUAAGGCUUUUCUUUUUCUAUUUGCUGUUGAUUACCCAAAAUUUUCCAUGGCUGUGCACCUUAUGGUUCUGGUUAUUCCCAAUUAGAAAGCUCUUUGCUUUUGCUCGCUCGCUAGGAAAUAUGGAACUGGCCAGCACUUCAAAUGCUAGUAGCAUUUUGUGGUUCUUCAGGGAUAGAGGUUUUGAUGAUAAGAGCAUUCAUGAAUUGUUUAGAAAGUGCAAGCGCCUCGAGGACAUUCAAAAGGAAAGAGCAUCUGAAAAUUGGUCUUACCUGAAAAGCAUUGGCAUUCAAGAGAGAAGGCUUCCUUAUGUUAUUUCGAAGUGCCCCAAAAUCCUUACUCUAGGCCUCAACGAGAAGCUCAUCCCAAUGGUUGAAUGCCUUGCUACACUAGCCACAAAACGACGUGAAGUUGCUUCUGCCAUAACCAAGUUCCCUCACAUACUUUCUCAUAGUCUUGAAGAGAAGCUUUGCCCACUUUUGGCAUUCUUUCAGGCACUAGGUGUUCCUGAAAAGCAACUUGGCAAGAUUAUAUUGCUCAACCCACGGCUAAUUAGUUACAGCAUUAAUCCCAAGCUAACAGAGAUUGUGGACUUUCUUGCUGGUCUUGGCCUUAACAAGGACGGAAUGAUUGGUAAAGUCCUGGUGAAACACCCCUUCAUAAUGGGUUAUAGUGUCGACAAAAGACUACGUCCUACGUUGGAGUUUAUGAAGUCUGUUGGCCUGACAGAGUUGAAUCUUCAAACAGUGGUCAUGAACUUCCCUGAAGUUUUGUGUAGAGAUGUGAACAAGAGCCUGCAGCCCAAUCUAACUUAUUUAAAGAGAUGUGGAUUUGAGGAUCGACAAAUAGCAGCUAUCGUGACUGGUUAUCCCCUUAUUCUGAUCAAGAGUAUUAGAAAUUCUUUGGAACCUAGGAUCAAAUUUUUGGUAGAAGUAAUGGGGAGACAAAUUGAUGAAGCUGCUGAUUAUCCCAGCUUCUUUCAGCACAGUUUGAAGAAGACUGUGGAGUCUAGGCACAAACUUUUGAAACAGAAAAAAGUAGAAUGUAGCUUGAGAGAGAUGCUGGAUUGUAAUCAAAAGAAGUUCUUAAUGAAGUUUGGUUUAGACUAGUUUGUUCUUGCAGUUGCUUUUAUCUGUGAGUAAAUUCAACUUGUACAUGGAUUUGCGCCGAUCUAUGAGAAUUCAAGUUUCCUGGCUC